This 163-nucleotide microRNA precursor is filed under the name Triticum aestivum (bread wheat). RNAcentral describes it as "miR10518 stem-loop (tae-MIR10518)". Lineage: Eukaryota; Viridiplantae; Streptophyta; Magnoliopsida; Poales; Poaceae. The record is from miRBase by way of RNAcentral.
UAUAUCUAGACAUAGACUUUGUUCAGAUAAUAGUUACUCCCUCCGUUUUAAAAUAUAAGAGAUUUUGAAGGGAUGUGACACAUCUAGAGCUAGAAUAUGUCACAAACCUUUAAAAUUUCUUAUAGGACGGAGGGAGUUCGAGUUAGCUUAGGUAUUGUUUAGU